This 263-nucleotide ribosomal RNA is filed under the name uncultured archaeon. RNAcentral's name for it is "partial 16S ribosomal RNA". It matches the Rfam family "Archaeal small subunit ribosomal RNA", at positions 717 to 982 of the family's 1478-position model. The record is from RNAcentral.
AGACGUCUACAUUAGAUACCCCGUAGUCCCAGCCGUAAACUAUGCGCGUUAGGUGUAUCGGUGACCACGAGUUACCGAGGUGCCGAAGGGAAACCGUGAAACGUGCCGCCUGGGAAGUACGGUUGCAAGGCUGAAACUUAAAGGAAUUGGCGGGGAGCACCACAACGGGUGGAGCCUGCGGUUUAAUUGGACUCAACGCCGGGAAGCUCACCGGAUAAGACAGCGGAAUGAUUGCCGGGCUGAAGACUCUGCAUGACUAGCUG